Molecule: ribosomal RNA, 433 nt
Filed under: Teleogramma brichardi
Lineage: Eukaryota; Metazoa; Chordata; Actinopteri; Cichliformes; Cichlidae
Description: partial 16S ribosomal RNA
Rfam family: Bacterial large subunit ribosomal RNA
Source: RNAcentral
UUGUCUUUUAAAUGAAGACCUGUAUGAAUGGCAUAACGAGGGCUUAACUGUCUCCUUUUUUUAGUCAAUGAAAUUGAUCUUCCCGUGCAGAAGCGGGAAUAAAUACAUAAGACGAGAAGACCCUAUGGAGCUUUAGACACAGAACAGCCCAUGUUAAAUACCCCCCACAAACGGAUAAAACUUAUUGGCACCUGUACCAAUGUCUUUGGUUGGGGCGACCGCGGGGUAACAAAUAACCCCCACGUGGACCGGAAGCACACAUCGCUUCUACAACCCAGAGUUACCACUCAAAGUAACAGAAAUUCUGACCAAAAACGAUCCGGCAAGACCGAUCAACGAACCAAGUUACCCUAGGGAUAACAGCGCAAUCCUCUUUUAGAGCCCCAUCGACAAGAGGGUUUACGACCUCGAUGUUGGAUCAGGACAUCCUAUU